UGGGCAGCUCAGCAGGUGAAAAGUUUUAAGAGUUCUAAGUAAGAUGGUAAUAUUUCCAAAGUGAACAAUCUCUCAGAUUUUUCUAGAAGCUGUUCGAAGAGUGAGUCCCUUUGGAGGACACCGAAGCCAGCGAGCAGAAGUGCACCAGGGCAGGUCUCUGGAGAAGAUGGAAGCUCUCAGAUGUCUUCUCUGAGCCGGCUGUCCAGAUGUCCUAUGGCAGCAGUAGCUACAUGAGUCUUGGCAGGUUGCGUCUUUACACCACCACAGCCACUGCAUUCAGUCGGCAGCUGGGUGAUUGAUAAUGAGGCUGGGGCAUUCUGUGUGCUCUGUUGUUUAGGAAGAGGAUACCCUCUCCCCUGUUAACAUGUGACACAAAGGUCAUCACACUGUCCAUCCAUAUGCAUCUACGAUCUUCCAACCUUUUUCCUUCUAGACGCCUGACCAGCUGGCCAAGCCAUUCACUGUUUCCCAUGGUUCUCAUGAUUUUCUGACUCUGGGCCACUUCCCUUUCAUCAUAAAGUGGAUGACCAGGUGCAUUGCCCAUUGGGAGGCUUUUCUCUGACCACAUCCUACCAAGGCCACCUUGCAGGGAGCGUGCAGUAGAGUGGCCAUCCAUUCGCAGUUUGCACCCACCUAACAAGCUCACCCUCUACAAGUAGGUGUGGGCUUUUUCUUCCUCUCAUGGGGUCCCCUAGACAGCCAGGGAUAUGAACCACCAGGGGGUCAGAACAAGUUACAGUGCGUUGGCAUCUGGACCACUGUUCAUGCCGUCUGCUUGGGCUCAGUAAUGCUGCUAGGGCUCAAUCCUGGACCAACUGUUCGUCUCAUACAGGAUGGUUGCUGGACCAGCCUUUAUGAUUUACCAGGUCUGCCCUACUUAUGAUGGACAGACCCAGCUGAACGGCUACUGGGUGUAACAGAGCCCGAUAACACACCAGGAGAUGCUUUCCAAAACGCAUGAAAUUCUGUGCUGCUCUUAAACAGCUUGACUCCAGAACGCUGGGGGCCAGCUUUGUGAUUCUCUGGCUGGGGCUUGCCAUGUGUUCCACACAGCUUCUGUUCCCACUGCUGACACCUCCAACACCGGCUGCAGGGACCUUUCCCACUCGGUUGCAUUCAGAGCUGGUCAGUAGCUUUUGGUCCACUUAGUGUUGGAACUAGAGCAGUAUUCCCAGCUGUGGAAUUUGCUGCUUCUACAACCCAAAGAGGCCAAACACACACUGCGAGUCUUUCUUUGUGAAAGAUAGGGCAAGGUACAUUGCUUUUGAGGUGCUGUCCUGACCACCAGACCCCUAAAAAUUUUUACAAAUAUGGCAGUGCCAUACCACUCAUCUGCUUCCUUAAGUUCCUACCAAAUCUCUACAUUCCAUUGUAAGACUGGCUUUUUUUCAAGGGAAAUUCCGGAAACUCUUGUCUCUCCUUCUUGCCAUCGGUUGUCACAUUGCAGCAUACAUGAGAAUACACUUGAAUGCUUGCCCCAAUGUGAAUUAUCAAGCCCUACCCACAGAGAGUCUGAUUCCAAAUAUAUCUGUGUGAGGAAUCUGCAUUUUGAGAAAGUACCUCCCACCCAUGCUUCUAAAGGUCUUCGAGCAAGCUGUUCACUUUGCCUCUUGGCCUGCCUUUCUUCUUUUCUUCUCCACCUGUGACCCGCCCUUGCCCAUUCUUCAAGACGCAGCUCCCAUCAGUAUCACCUCUUUUGUGAAGCUUUUCCUAACUCUCCCCAGGCUAGAAUUAGUCCAUCAGGAUGUCACAGUAAUUUUCAUGCCCCUUUUCAUCUCCAUAGUUAUUUAUGUGAAGUCUCAUCUUCCCUCAAGGCUAUAAACUUCUGAGAUUUUUUUCAUGUACCUUUUAUCUCCAACAGUCAUCCCAAUGCUAAGUGUGUGGCAGGCACUCACAGUACACUUCUUGGAUGGAUCAGUGCAUGAAUCCUGGGGAUCAAGGUGUGAAAAUUCUGUGAAUUGGUUGAGUUCCAUGAGAUAAAAAGUUAAUAUAUCAACAUUUAGUCCUUUCAUUUUCUCACCAAGGGAAUAGUAUAUGCUUUCUCCAGAAAUCUCAUCCUAUACUCUUCUUAAUCCCUUUAUGGAGCUACAAGAUAAGACCUUAAUCCCUCAAGGACUGACAUUUGAUCAGCGCUUACAGACUUUUUCUAAACAGAGAACAGCUUUUUACCUAUGGUUUUAAAAAAAUGGAAAUUUUUCUGGGAAGAAUUUUCUAUGAAUUUCCCAUCCAUUUCAACAGAGCACUUCUUUUGCUAAUUAAUUAUUGAUUUGCUUGACCUGACCCAUUUUUGCAGUGCUGCGAGUUCGGGUCCCCGUGGAUGCUGGUCUUUAAUAUCAACUCAAGGCAGAAUCAAGUUGUUAUGUCAGAGGCGGGGGCCUGGUAGUGGCGUGAAUGUCCUUUCUAAAGGUGGUGGAAACAGCAGAAUGUCAGCGUGGUAACGGAACUUCUUAGAGUGAACGCUCUUGGUGUUGGGAGAGAACAAAUCAAAGAAAUCAAAACCUCAGAGCAACAGUUGAUGGAACUUGAGAAAUUAACAGACUUUUUCAGAGACAGCCUAAGAAACAAAGACCCUCCGACCAGAGUCUUGGUCUUCUCGUGUCAUACUUAUUAGCUUUACCUGGGUUUUAGCUUCUGAACUGUGCUGGGUCAAUUCAACAAAUCUACAAAGCACAUUCUUAUUGGUUCCACUCAACUAUGUUCCCACAUCAAUGAAGAACCCUCGUCGCUUGAUGCACCCAAAGGGAAGCUCCUGGUACAUUGAAAUAAAGUCAAUAGGAGUUCCUGUCAUGGCGCAGGGGAAACGAAUCCAGCUAGUAUCCAUGAGGAUGCACGUUUGAUCCCUGGCCUUGCUCAGUGGGGUCAGGGAUCCCGUGUUGCUGUGAGCUGUGGUGUAGGUGAAAGACUCAGCUUGGAUCCCAUGUUGCUGUGGCUGUGGUUAUAAGCUGGCAGCUGUUCUUCCAAUUCUACCCCUAGCCUGGGAACUUCCAUAUGCCAUGAGUGUGGCCCUGAAAAGCAAAUAAAGUCAAUAAAACGUAGGUAACAAAAUGAAAAAAAUAAAUAUGGAGCUUUUUCUGUAUAAUAUGUAGUUGAUAAUUCUCCUAAAAGACCCAAAGAAAUUAUCUUUUUUGAGUUUACUCAUCUAAACAAAAUUAAAGACAAAAAUCAUAAUGUUCCCCAUAGAUUCUAAUGUAUACUAUUACCAAAAGGAUAAAGUAAAACCUUCUUCUUAAUAAAAGCAUGUAAAAUGAUUUAAAAGAUAUGUACCAUGAAAUUACACUAGAAAGCUCCUAUUUAUUUGAAUACAGUCUCUUCAAUCUUUCUUUGCCAUUUAUGAGUAAAUAUUUGUAUCUAAAAAGAAAUUUGAAUUCUAAAAAGAACAGGAGGCACUGAAGUAUACAGAGAGGACCAGAUACAUUUAUCUUAUCACUUCUAAAACCCUACAGCUUCCGCCAGUGAUUAGGAAUUGUAGCACAUUUUUUCCCCAGUUCGAAAAGAAAAUAAUGAGCUAUACAAACAUUUCCAGGAUAAUCAAGCAGAAAUUUGCUGAACCAUGAAAAUUUUUUAACAAUGCAAGAAAAUAGUCAAUGAUUUUUAAUAGCCAUCAAAUCACUAAUAGCUUCUAAAUUCUGCUCCUAUAAUAGUAGGGGGAUGGAUGGGGUGAAUGAAAUGAUACAUGAAAAAGGAGUGACUCGUCCACCAACCAAAUGGCUGUUUACAAUAACAAAUUGUCAGAUUAAUCAGCAAUUCUUGGGCCAAAUAAAAACCACUGCAUUACUAAGCAUAUAUAUUCUUCUAUGCUUUCUUCUAGCAUUCCUUAUCCUCUUCCAACCAAAAUAAAUACCUUCUGUCUCCAUAAACAUGUACAUUACACAUGGAAAAGGCAGUGAAGGGCACGCUGGAAAUUAAUGACUUUUUGAUUAAGGUCCUUGUGAACCUACUUUAACAUCACAGUACUCCUAGGAGGAGUAACAUGCGUGGGGAGUGGUCACCAUAUUGAAAAUUUGUCUAUCGGAUCUUUCUUCUCUGCGACCCAAGCUACAAGAGAGGAAGUGGGAUAUUCAAGAAGUGGAGGGAGGAACCUCAAAGACAAGCAGCCCACCACACACUUUCUCCAGCCCCGACACCCAGCACUUGCAUUGCUCGCCAGCGCCCAAGAGAGCCUCAGUGCAAGCACAGUUCCAGCAAAAUUACCUUUCAUUGCCACCACCAGCUACACAGACAAAGGAAGGACCAAAUUCUUGUCUUUGUGACAAAUCUGGGCAUGCAUCAAUGGAAACCAAGCACAAUAAAAGUUUCCUUGGUGAAAAGGAUGAAGGCGGUGACUCUCUGCCAUCUAAUGGGUUCAGGUCCCAAAAAAGAAAUUGUUUUUUCCCAAAAAGAAAUUUUGACCUGACCUAUAAACCAGGGGCUCUGGUCUAAUGGAUCUAAUUCAUUUCACCUUAUGGGAAUUUGUGGUUAUUUCUUUAUUGCUAGAUGCAAACAAUACCUAUCCUGGCCCAAGAAUGGAGCCUCAGUUACUCCCUAAGCAGAGGAGACUGAUGUGGUGGUGGUGGUUUUCUCUAGACAUAACAGCCACGAGGUAGCCAAUGAUAUCGUACAUGGAUGACACAGUGACUGGCUUUCCAAGAGAUGAAAAUAGAUUCGCACAGCUGUAGAUACAGACUUUCUGUACUAAAUAACUCUAUUUCAUCACCAUGGAGAACUUACCCAGUGGAGCUCUACCCUGCAGCAACUACACCUGCAAAAGUUGCUUUAUUUUCAAGUGUUCCAAGCUCUAGAUGAGUAUUAUUUGGGAAUGUGGCCAGUGAAAGGAGAGGUGGCAGGUUCUGAGUAUAAAGUGUUCAAAAGUCAUGACCCCAUUAUAACAGCUAUUCCAGGCAAGUUCAAGUAUACACCCUAGGUCAGGAUAGUCUAUAACUUGCUGUGAGG
RNAcentral lists this long non-coding RNA (4929 nucleotides) under Sus scrofa (pig). Its description in RNAcentral is "lncRNA (ENSSSCG00000057500.1)". Lineage: Eukaryota; Metazoa; Chordata; Mammalia; Artiodactyla; Suidae. The record is from RNAcentral.